This 169-nucleotide ribosomal RNA is filed under the name uncultured bacterium. Its description in RNAcentral is "partial 16S ribosomal RNA". It matches the Rfam family "Bacterial small subunit ribosomal RNA", at positions 338 to 524 of the family's 1533-position model. The record is from RNAcentral.
CCUACGGGAGGCAGCAGUGGGGAAUAUUGGACAAUGGGCGAAAGCCUGAUCCAGCAAUGCCGCGUGAGUGAUGAAGGCCUUAGGGUUGUAAAGCUCUUUUACCAGGGAUGAUAAUGACAGUACCUGGAGAAUAAGCUCCGGCUAACUUCGUGCCAGCAGCCGCGGUAAU